GAGACAGCAGUAGCCACGGUAAUACGUAGGGUCCGAGCGUUGUCCGGAAUUAUUGGGCGUAAAGGGCUCGUAGGCGGUUUGUCGCGUCGGGAGUGAAAACCAGCAGCUUAACUGCUGGCCUGCUUUCGAUACGGGCAGACUUGAGGCAUUCAGGGGAGAACGGAAUUCCUGGUGUAGCGGUGAAAUGCGCAGAUAUCAGGAGGAACACCGGUGGCGAAGGCGGUUCUCUGGGAAUGUUCUGACGCUGAGGAGCGAAAGUGUGGGGAGCGAACAGGAUUAGAUACCCCUGUAGUCCCUGUCUCUUAUAC
Molecule: ribosomal RNA, 308 nt
Filed under: uncultured bacterium
Lineage: Bacteria
Description: partial 16S ribosomal RNA
Rfam family: Bacterial small subunit ribosomal RNA
Source: RNAcentral